RNAcentral lists this ribosomal RNA (459 nucleotides) under uncultured bacterium. Its description in RNAcentral is "partial 16S ribosomal RNA". It matches the Rfam family "Bacterial small subunit ribosomal RNA", at positions 338 to 795 of the family's 1533-position model. The record is from RNAcentral.
CCUACGGGGGGCAGCAGUGAGGAAUAUUGGUCAAUGGCCGAGAGGCUGAACCAGCCAAGUCGCGUGAGGGAAGACGGCCCUACGGGUUGUAAACCUCUUUUGUCGGGGAGCAAAGCGAACCACGUGUGGUUCAUUGAGAGUACCCGAAGAAAAAGCAUCGGCUAACUCCGUGCCAGCAGCCGCGGUAAUACGGAGGAUGCGAGCGUUAUCCGGAUUUAUUGGGUUUAAAGGGUGCGCAGGCGGAGGUGCAAGUCAGCGGUCAAAUUGCGGGGCUCAACACCGUACUGCCGUUGAAACUGCCCGGCUAGAGUGCUGGAGAGGUAAGCGGAAUUACUAGUGUAGCGGUGAAAUGCGUAGAUAUUAGGAGGAACACCAGUGGCGAAGGCGGCUUACUGGACAGUAACUGACGUUGAGGCUCGAAAGCGUGGGGAGCAAACAGGAUUAGAUACCCCAGUAGUC